GAGUUUGAUCGUGGCUCAGAUUGAACGCUGGCGGCAUGCCUUACACAUGCAAGUCGAACGGCAGCAUGAUCUAGCUUGCUAGAUUAAUGGCGAGUGGCGAACGGGUGAGUAAUACAUCGGAACGUGCCCUGUAGUGGGGGAUAACUAGUCGAAAGAUUAGCUAAUACCGCAUACGACCUGAGGGUGAAAGUGGGGGACCGCAAGGCCUCAUGCUAUAGGAGCGGCCGAUGUCUGAUUAGCUAGUUGGUGGGGUAAAGGCCCACCAAGGCGACGAUCAGUAGCUGGUCUGAGAGGACGAUCAGCCACACUGGGACUGAGACACGGCCCAGACUCCUACGGGAGGCAGCAGUGGGGAAUUUUGGACAAUGGGCGAAAGCCUGAUCCAGCAAUGCCGCGUGUGUG
RNAcentral lists this ribosomal RNA (402 nucleotides) under uncultured microorganism. RNAcentral describes it as "bacterial SSU rRNA". It matches the Rfam family "Bacterial small subunit ribosomal RNA", at positions 9 to 407 of the family's 1533-position model. The record is from RNAcentral.